Molecule: ribosomal RNA, 450 nt
Filed under: uncultured bacterium
Lineage: Bacteria
Description: partial 16S ribosomal RNA
Rfam family: Bacterial small subunit ribosomal RNA
Source: RNAcentral
CCUACGGGCGGCUGCAGUGGGGAAUUUUGGACAAUGGGGGCAACCCUGAUCCAGCCAUGCCGCGUGCGGGAAGAAGGCCUUCGGGUUGUAAACCGCUUUUGUCAGGGAAGAAAUCUUCCGAGCUAAUACCUUGGGAGGAUGACGGUACCUGAAGAAUAAGCACCGGCUAACUCCGUGCCAGCAGCCGCGGUAAUACGUAGGGUGCAUGCGUUAAGCGGAAUUACUGCGCGUGAUGGUGCAAGACGGGUGUGAAAGCCCCGGGCUUAACCUGGGAACUGCACUUGUGACUGUACGGCUGGAGUACGGCAGAGGGGGAUGGAAUUCCGCGUGUAGCAGUGAAAUGCGUAGAUAUGCGGAGGAACACCGAUGGCGAAGGCAGUCCCCUGGGCCUGUACUGACGCUCAUGCACGAAAGCGUGGGGAGCAAACAGGAUUAGAUACCCCGGUAGUC